RNA transcript from Lycium ferocissimum, 1972 nucleotides. It is a transcript of the gene named GPN-loop GTPase 3, with no coding region annotated. The transcript has 9 exons. The record is from RefSeq and is a predicted model, not a curated record. Lineage: Eukaryota; Viridiplantae; Streptophyta; Magnoliopsida; Solanales; Solanaceae.
AGAAAAGGGGUGGCUAGUAGGUGGAAUAGCGAGGCUUCCUAUUUCUCUGCAAUUGCUGGCAAGUUAAUAUCUUUUCUGUUUUUCUCUUCCAUUCGUCCAUAUUAUUUUCUUCUCUGUUACUCUAUUUUCUAUUGUAAAAAGAAGGAGGCUUCCUUUUUUUUCUUCUUUUGUUCCUUCAGUGGUACCGCUUUGCUAAAAUACAAGAUUAAUGGCUCUUGUGUUAAUGGAUUUCUGAUUUUUCCACAAGGGUUCUUUGUAAUAUAUCUAUUAGGGUAGUCUCUCUCAAUGGUUUGUUUCUUUUGUUGCUGUUAUAUUCAGUGGAGUUUCAGACGAAAGCUAUACUAAAAGUGGCAAAACAAUCUUACAAUCUUAUUUUCCAGGUCAAAGGAGCAAUUUUUAUUUUUAUUUUUAUUUUUACCGUUGUGGGUGGCGUAAAAGAAGGAAUGGGGUUCAGAGUUUGGGGUCGCGCUGAUGGCUGAUGGCCAAUCUUUUAUUUGUCUAUAUUGAUGUUGCUUAUAAUAGAAAAUCUGAUGAUAUAAUUCUUGAUAUCACCAUUGUAAGGAUGCUGCUAUACUAUUUUAGGGGCUGUUAUGAGGUUAUUUCGUAGAAAUACUUUUUAGCCAUUUUCAACAAUACUUUUUUCUUUUCUUUUUUUGACUCUAUUAAUGAGUAGUUCAGGUGAUAUUGUGAUGUUUCUUUUGUCGUGAUAUUGCUUAUGGGACACGCUGAUGUACUAAGCUUGUUGUUGGCGGCUGGUGUUUGGUGUGCAACAUACGUGUUGGUUGCAGUUCUUGGCGUCUUUCAGAUUUUCAGUUUUCUCAGAACCUCUGUCUUCGGUUGAUCGCUUGAUUCUAGCCGUGUGUAAAAGUAACCGAAAAGGGAGUGGUCAUGGGUUACGCGCAGUUAGUUAUUGGCCCUGCAGGCAGUGGAAAGUCCACUUACUGCUCUAGUUUGUAUCAACACUGUGAGACCACACGACGCACCAUCCAUAUUGUGAACCUAGAUCCUGCUGCAGAGAACUUUGACUAUCCAGUGGCUAUGGACAUCAGAGAACUCAUCUCGCUGGAUGAUGUUAUGGAAGAACUUGGUCUCGGACCAAAUGGUGGCCUUAUGUAUUGCAUGGAACAUCUUGAAGAAAAUUUGGACGACUGGCUUACAGAAGAGUUGGACAACUACUUGGAUGAUGACUACCUAGUGUUUGACUGCCCAGGCCAGAUUGAACUUUUCUCACAUGUUCCUGUGCUGAAGAACUUUGUGGAACACCUAAGGCGUAAAAAUUUUAAUGUUUGUGUUGUGUAUUUACUUGAUUCUCAGUUUAUUACAGAUGUAACCAAAUUCAUAAGUGGUUGUAUGGCUUCUCUCUCUGCUAUGGUUCAACUUGAACUGCCCCAUGUUAACAUUCUGUCGAAGAUGGAUCUUGUCACAAACAAAAAGGAAAUUGAGAAUUACUUGAAUCCAGAGCCUCAGUUGUUACUGGCAGAGUUGAAUCAGCGAAUGGCUCCACAAUUUCAGAAGCUUAACAAAUCAUUGAUUGAAGUGGUUAUUUCUCCAAGUUAGAUUCAAGAUUGUAGAGGCUCGUAAGAUAUGCCUAGUCCGCCAUUGAUUCUGUUGUACUUGACUCAUCGCUUUCGAAUGAAAAGAUAUAAGAAGAAAGUGACCAUAAUGGCUGAUAUUUGCUUGUGUACAGGUGGACCAAUACAGCAUGCAUACAGUACAUCUUAUCUCAGAUCGACAACUGCAUUCAGUAUGGAGAGGAUGCUGAUGUAAAGGUUAAAGAUUUUGACGAAGAGGAGGACGAUUAGAAGUUAAUUUUUCUUGACAUCGUUCUAGAAUCAACGAGCUCUUGGGAGGUGGUGGGUGGUGAAAAUGUAUUAACAAGUGUCUUUUGUGAGACUUGCCUUUUUUGAGCUUUACCUCUGUGAAAUUACAUCAUCUGCUGAUUAAGUUGCUUUUGCAUUAUAAUUACCCAUCA